UAGGGCCAAGAGCUGAGCUAAGAGCAGAACUGAGUAGAGCUAAAAGCUGAGCUAGGAGUAGAGCUAAGAGCUGAGCUUAGAGCUGAGCUGAGGGUAGGGCCAAGAGUAGAACUAAGGGCAGAGCCAAGUGUAGAGCUAAGAACUGAGCUGAGAGUAGAGCUGAGAGCAUGGCCAAGAGUAGAGCUAAGAGCAGAGCUGAGAGCAGGGCAGGAGAAGGGCCAAGAGCAGGGCUGGGAGUAGAGCCAAGAGUAGGGCCAGGAGUAGAACUAAGAGAAGGGCAGGAGUAGGGCCAAUAAACCAAGAGUAGGGCCAGGAGUGGGGCCAGGACUACGUAGGGCCAGGGGUAGAAAUAAGAAUAGAGCCAAGAGUAGGGCAGGAGUAGGGCCAAGAGUAGGGCCAGAAGUAGAACUAAGAGUAGAGCCAAGAGUAGGGCUGGGAGUAGAACUAAGAGUAGAGCCAAGAGUAAGGCUGGGAGUAGAGCCAAGAGUAGGGCCAGGAGUAGGACUAAGAGUAGGGCCAGGGGUGGGGCCAGGACUAUGUAGGGCCAGGAGUAGAAAUAUGAGUAGAGCCAAGAGUAGGGGCAGGAGUGGAACUAAGAGUAGAGUCAAGAGUAGGGCAGGAGUAGGGCUGGGAGUAGGGCCAGGAGUAGAACUAAGAGUAGGGCCAAGAGUAGGGCUGGGAGUAGGGCCAAGAGUGGGGCCAGGAGUACGUAGGGCCAGGAGGCCAGGAGUAGAGCCAAGAGUAGAACUAAGAGCAGGACCAGGAGUGGGGCCAGGACUACGUAGGGCCAGGGGUAGGAGUAGAACCAAGAGUAGGGCCAAGAGCAGAACUAAGAGUAGAGCCAAGAGUAGAACUAAGAGCCAAGAGUAGGACUAGGAGUAGAACCAAGAGUAGAACUAGGAGUAGAGCCAGGAGUAGAACUAAGAGUAGGGCCAGGAGUAGAACUAAGAGUAGGGCCAGGAGUAGAACUAAGAGUAGACUCUACUCUUAGUUCUGCUCUUGGCCCUACUCUUGGUUCUACUCCUACUUCUACCCCUGGCCCUACAUAGUUCUGGCCCCACUCCUGGUCCUGCUCUUAGUUCUACUCUUGGCUCUACUCCUGGCCUGCCUCUUGGCUCUACUCUUUAGUUCUACUCCUGACUCUACUCUAGUUCACUCCUGGCCCUAUCUUAUGUUCUAUUCGUGGCCC
Molecule: long non-coding RNA, 1189 nt
Filed under: Coturnix japonica (Japanese quail)
Lineage: Eukaryota; Metazoa; Chordata; Aves; Galliformes; Phasianidae
Description: lncRNA (ENSCJPG00005002224.1)
Source: RNAcentral